GUUGAACGCUGGCGGCGGGCCUAAUACAUGCAAGUCGAGCGAACGGAGGAAAAGUUUGCCUUGCUGAUGUUAGCGGCGGACGGGUGAGUAACAGGUGGAUAACCUACCUAUAAGACUGGGAUAAGUUCGGGAAACCGGAUCUAAUACCGGUUCAUAUUUUGAACGGCAUGGUUCAUCAGAGAAAGACGGUCUUGCUGUCACUAAUAGAUGGAUCCGCGCUGCAUUAGCUAGUUGGUAAGGUAACGGCUUACCAAGGCAACGAUGCAUAGCCGACCUGAGAGGGUGAUCGGCCACACUGGAACUGAGACACGGUCCAGACUCCUACGGGAGGCAGCAGUAGGGAAUCUUCCGCAAUGGGCGAAAGCCUGACGGAGCAACGCCGCGUGAGUGAUGAAGGUCUUCGGAUCGUAAAACUCUGUUAGUAGGGAAGAACAUAUGUGUAAGUAACUGUGCCCAUCUUGACGGUACCUACUCAGAAAGCCACGGCUAACUACGUG
This 497-nucleotide ribosomal RNA is filed under the name uncultured bacterium. RNAcentral's name for it is "partial 16S ribosomal RNA". It matches the Rfam family "Bacterial small subunit ribosomal RNA", at positions 28 to 507 of the family's 1533-position model. The record is from RNAcentral.